Molecule: long non-coding RNA, 1030 nt
Filed under: Takifugu rubripes (torafugu)
Lineage: Eukaryota; Metazoa; Chordata; Actinopteri; Tetraodontiformes; Tetraodontidae
Description: lncRNA (ENSTRUG00000031276.1)
Source: RNAcentral
UUAAAAAAAAAAACUGUACAUUUUAAUGCGUAUUUUUCAGAUAGUUUGUUUAUCAGGGAGGGGGGGGUCACCCACCCAGCCGGAACGUUCUAACCGUGGUCAGAUGUUGCCGAGGUGGACAUUUUACAGGGUGUCGUCAGGUGUGACGCAACACACGAACGUGGACCAGAUGUGGACCGGAUGUGGACUGGAUGUGGACUGGAUGUGGACCGGAUGUGGACCGGAUGUGGACCGGAUGUGGACUGGAUGUGGACCGGUUGUGGACCGGAUGUGGACUGGAUGGGCGCGAGCGUCGGACCACAGCAGAGUUGCCAUUCUCAACCACUCAGCAUCACUAUGUUGCAACAUCGUGCUGAAGGAGCCCAAUUUCCGAGGGAGGCUGGCGUGCCCCCCCCACCCCACACCUGCUUUGAUCUUCCAGCCAGGUUCUGCUGGGAGCAGAUGAAGGAACGCGACUCCUCAUCAGUAUCUGCUCCGGACAGGACGGACAUCCAUAAUGGAGCCUCACAGGCGGAGCCCGAGAUUUCUGCAGCCGCCUGGCAACAGACGGGAAAGGAGCCAGCAACAGCUCCGGCCAGAGUGUCCUGGGUCCCUGUCCCAGAGUCCAACUCAUGUCCACAGUCGGCUGACUGGUGACUCAGAAUGGCCCCCUGCUGUGUGUGUCCUCACCCAGUGGACGCACAAUUAAAUGCGUAAAUUGUGAAUUCCUCAUCGGAUUACUUGUUCCCUCACCUUCCUUCUAUGACCCCGGAAUCAGCUUCCAGCUCUCUUGAAGCUUUUAAAUGCUCUGAUUGCUGGAAACGCCAGUUCUCUGUUGUCAAUGAUGCGUUUAUGGGUCAGGAACUUUGAUCGCUGCUCUCCAGGAAGCUGGACAGGAAACUAAUCCUCUCUCAAGAGGACUGAAAAUAUAUCACAAAAAAAAAGUUCUAAUUUCAGCAGCUGCCAAGCCAAUUUAGCACAUUUUUAUAGUCCUUUUAUUUUUUUUAAAAAAAGCUCGAGAACAACAUCCUGUUUUGUCAUUCAGCUCGCC